This is a non-coding RNA of Paramuricea clavata, 275 nucleotides long. NCBI's taxonomy places the organism in Eukaryota, Metazoa, Cnidaria, Anthozoa, Malacalcyonacea, Plexauridae. The record is from the annotation of a GenBank genome assembly.
UUGCUUCUUGUUUAUCAAUUAUGACAAAGUGAUUUUUGAUGGUUUCAAGACUCAUCAAUGUUUGCAAGAUUUCGCAUUUCUUCAUCAAGCUGGCAGGGAAGAAGUGAGUUCGGUUUAUAGACAAUGGUAGAUCGUAUUGGACUGGAUAGUUCGUUUAACGAAGCUACGGUUAUUCUGUUCUCUUCAAUUGUCUUUGGAUGUGUAAUCCCACAACGUUCCCAACGCGUGGUCCUUCGAACCGGAGUCAAGACGCGUUUUUCUGACGCAGUUUUUCU